GCCUGGUUAGCUCAAUCGGUAGAGCGUGAGACUCUUAUAGAGAUCACUUUCUCAGAAAACGAUUGAUUUAAGCAAUCUCAAGGUUGCGGGUUCGGUGAGUUUAAUGAUCUAAGGUUCGAAUCAUAGAGUGAACA
Periconia macrospinosa is the source of this 134-nucleotide non-coding RNA. NCBI's taxonomy places the organism in Eukaryota, Fungi, Ascomycota, Dothideomycetes, Pleosporales, Periconiaceae. The record is from the annotation of a GenBank genome assembly.